Molecule: unclassified non-coding RNA, 630 nt
Filed under: uncultured fungus
Lineage: Eukaryota; Fungi
Description: sequence contains ITS1, 5.8S rRNA gene, ITS2
Rfam family: 5.8S ribosomal RNA (bases 215-369)
Source: RNAcentral
UGCGGAGGAUCAUUACUGAACUGUCGACACGAGUUGUUGCUGGUCCUCAAUGGGGGCAUGUGCACACUCUGUUUACACACCCACUCACACCUGUGCACCCUCUGUAGUUCUGUGGUGUGGGGGACCUUGUCCUCCCGCCGUGGUUCUAUGUCUUUACACACACUCGGUGAUAAAGUCUUAUGGAAUGUAUGUAGCGUUUAACGCAAUAAAAUACAACUUUCAGCAACGGAUCUCUUGGCUCUCGCAUCGAUGAAGAACGCAGCGAAAUGCGAUAAGUAAUGUGAAUUGCAGAAUUCAGUGAAUCAUCGAAUCUUUGAACGCACCUUGCGCCCUUUGGCUAUUCCGAAGGGCAUGCCUGUUUGAGUAUCAUGAACACCUCAACUCUCAUGGUUUGCCAUGAUGAGCUUGGACUUUGGGGGUCUUGCCGGCCUAUGGUCGGCUCCUCUCAAAUGAAUCAGCUUGCCAGUGUUUGGUGGGAUCACGGGUGUGAUAACUAUCUACGCUUGUGGCCUUCUGCCAAGUAACCUUCAGCGAUGGAGGUUCGCUGGGGCUCAUAAAUGUCUCUCCUCAGCGAGGACAGCUCUUUUGAACGUUUGAUCUCAAAUCAGGUAGGANUACCCGCUGAACUUA